Molecule: ribosomal RNA, 241 nt
Filed under: Serratia marcescens
Lineage: Bacteria; Pseudomonadati; Pseudomonadota; Gammaproteobacteria; Enterobacterales; Yersiniaceae
Description: partial 16S ribosomal RNA
Rfam family: Bacterial small subunit ribosomal RNA
Source: RNAcentral
GAGGCAGCAGUGGGGAAUAUUGCACAAUGGGCGCAAUCCUGAUGCAGCCAUGCCGCGUGUGUGAAGAAGGCCUUCGGGUUGUAAAGCACUUUCAGCGAGGAGGAAGGUGGUGAACUUAAUACGUUCAUCAAUUGACGUUACUCGCAGAAGAAGCACCGGCUAACUCCGUGCCAGCAGCCGCGGUAAUACGGAGGGUGCAAGCGUUAAUCGGAAUUACUGGGCGUAAAGCGCACGCAGGCGG